RNAcentral lists this ribosomal RNA (497 nucleotides) under uncultured bacterium. Its description in RNAcentral is "partial 16S ribosomal RNA". It matches the Rfam family "Bacterial small subunit ribosomal RNA", at positions 28 to 507 of the family's 1533-position model. The record is from RNAcentral.
GAUGAACGCUGGCGGCGUGCCUAAUACAUGCAAGUCGAGCGAACAGACGAGGAGUUUGCUCCUCUGACGUUAGCGGCGGACGGGUGAGUAACACGUGGAUAACCUACCUAUAAGACUGGGAUAACUUCGGGAAACCGGAGCUAAUACCGGAUAAUAUAUUGAACCGCAUGGUUCAAUAGUGAAAGACGGUUUUGCUGUCACUUAUAGAUGGAUCCGCGCCGUAUUAGCUAGUUGGUAAGGUAACGGCUUACCAAGGCAACGAUGCGUAGCCGACCUGAGAGGGUGAUCGGCCACACUGGAACUGAGACACGGUCCAGACUCCUACGGGAGGCAGCAGUAGGGAAUCUUCCGCAAUGGGCGAAAGCUUGACGGAGCAACGCCGCGUGAGUGAUGAAGGUCUUCGGAUCGUAAAACUCUGUUAUUAGGGAAGAACAAAUGUGUAAGUAACUAUGCACGUCUUGACGGUACCUAAUCAGAAAGCCACGGCUAACUACGUG